UUGAAACACCAGUCUGUACGAUCACCGAAGUUAAGCAACGUCGAGCCUGGUUAGUACCUAGAUGGGUGACCGCAUGGGUAUUCCAGGUGUUGUAAG
This is a non-coding RNA of Acanthosepion pharaonis, 96 nucleotides long. Lineage: Eukaryota; Metazoa; Mollusca; Cephalopoda; Sepiida; Sepiidae. The record is from the annotation of a GenBank genome assembly.